GAAGUAAAAGUCGUAACAAGGUUUCCGUAGNUGAACCUGCGGAAGGAUCAUUAAUAAAAUUGGAAUAUACAAUUCUUAAACCCACUCCGAGUAUUUGUACUUGUUGCUUCCGUGGGCAGUGAACCAUGUGUUUGCGCCUACCCAUGUGGUGGACCCACGGGAGACAUCAUCAAACCCAGCAUUCUGUGAUCUCAGUCUGAUUAUGUUUAUUGAAUAAACUUUAAAACUUUCAACAACGGAUCUCUUGGUUCUCGCAUCGAUGAAGAACGCAGCGAAAUGCGAUAAGUAGUGUGAAUUGCAGAAUUCCGUGAAUCAUCGAAUCUUUGAACGCACAUUGCGCCUCCUGGCAUUCCGGGAGGCAUGCCUGUUCGAGCGUCAUCAAAACCCUCAAGCCUGGAUUCAUCCAUGACUUGGUAUUGGCAUUGGAGUGUACUUGAGCCAUUCCUGUCCGAAAACCCAAGGCGGGGUUGUCCGUACCGAUGAGCGUAGUAAUCAACGUUAUGUUUCGCUCCGGGACGGAACAUCUCUAGCCGUAAACCCCCAUUCUUAAGUGAUUGACCUCGGAUCAGGUAGGGAUACCCGCUGAACUUAAGCAUA
Molecule: ribosomal RNA, 597 nt
Filed under: uncultured Pyronemataceae
Lineage: Eukaryota; Fungi; Ascomycota; Pezizomycetes; Pezizales; Pyronemataceae
Description: eukaryotic LSU rRNA
Rfam family: 5.8S ribosomal RNA (bases 225-378)
Source: RNAcentral